UCAUCAUUUUUCAAAUUGCGUAGCGCUAUUCUUUCGCCCUUAGUAAGAUUGUUUUUUACAUUUCUUUCUAUUGGUAGAAAAGACAAUUCAAGCUUGGUUAAAUCUAUAUAAUUUUCCAACGUAUGGCACGUAGAGGCAGGUUUAUAUCCUGUAUUGCUACGAAAUGGAUGAAGGUCAGUUUUUUCUUGACUGAACAUAUACCGACAUCGUAAUUUUCUAGCAAAUUCAUUGUAGUCUUUUAGUAUAGACAUUUUUGCAUUUUUGCUUGAUGGCG
This 274-nucleotide long non-coding RNA is filed under the name Mytilus galloprovincialis (Mediterranean mussel). The record is from RNAcentral. Lineage: Eukaryota; Metazoa; Mollusca; Bivalvia; Mytilida; Mytilidae.